RNAcentral lists this ribosomal RNA (134 nucleotides) under uncultured bacterium. RNAcentral describes it as "partial 16S rRNA". It matches the Rfam family "Bacterial small subunit ribosomal RNA", at positions 355 to 506 of the family's 1533-position model. The record is from RNAcentral.
UGGGGAAUAUUGCACAAUGGGGGAAACCCUGAUGCAGCAACGCCGCGUGAAGGAAGAAGUAUUUCGGUAUGUAAACUUCUAUCAGCAGGGAAGAAAAUGACGGUACCUNNNGUAGAAGCCCCGGCUAACUACGU